Molecule: unclassified non-coding RNA, 312 nt
Organism: Erinaceus europaeus (western European hedgehog)
Lineage: Eukaryota; Metazoa; Chordata; Mammalia; Eulipotyphla; Erinaceidae
Gene: 7SK
Rfam family: 7SK RNA
About the family: 7SK was discovered as an abundant small nuclear RNA in the mid-70s but a possible function has only recently been suggested. Two independent studies have found that 7SK RNA binds the CDK9/cyclin T complex (known as elongation factor P-TEFb).
Source: Ensembl
AGAUGUGAGGGUGAUCUGGCUGUGACAUCUGUCACCCCAUUGGUCGCCAGGGUUGAUCUGAUCUGGCUGGCUAGGCCGAUGUCCCCUUCCUCCCUCACUGUUCCAUGUACAUCCAUCCCUAAGCUUCAUGCUCGGUUGAAGAUGAUGGCCUUCCCCAAAUAAAGACAGACCAGGGGGUAUACAAGUAGCUGCGCUCCCCUGCUAGGACCUCCAAACAAGCUCUCAAGGUCCAUUUGAAAUUCUAAACUCCUGUGACAGGAAAUGAGUUAUCACAGUGAAUCCCCAGUGACACCAGAACAGUUUUCUGAAUUC